GACGAACGCUGGCGGCGUGCUUAACACAUGCAAGUCGAACGGAAAGGCCCUGCUUUUGUGGGGUGCUCGAGUGGCGAACGGGUGAGUAACACGUGAGUAACCUGCCCUUGACUUUGGGAUAACUUCAGGAAACUGGGGCUAAUACCGGAUAGGAGCUCCUGCUGCAUGGUGGGGGUUGGAAAGUUUCGGCGGUUGGGGAUGGACUCGCGGCUUAUCAGCUUGUUGGUGGGGUAGUGGCUUACCAAGGCUUUGACGGGUAGCCGGCCUGAGAGGGUGACCGGCGACAUUGGGACUGAGAUACGGACCAGACUCCUACGGGAGGCAGCAGUGGGGAAUAUUGCACAAUGGGCGGAAGCCUGAUGCAGCAACGCCGCGUGCGGGAUGACGGCCUUCGGGUUGUAAACCGCUUUCGCCUGUGACGAAGCGGGAGUGACGGUAAUGGGUAAAGAAGCACCGGCUAACUACGUG
RNAcentral lists this ribosomal RNA (468 nucleotides) under uncultured bacterium. RNAcentral describes it as "partial 16S ribosomal RNA". It matches the Rfam family "Bacterial small subunit ribosomal RNA", at positions 28 to 507 of the family's 1533-position model. The record is from RNAcentral.